GACGAACGCUGGCGGCGUGCUUAACACAUGCAAGUCGAACGGAAAGGCCCUGCUUUUGUUGGUUGCUCGAGUGGCGAACGCGUGUGUAACACGUGAGUAACCUGCCCUUGACUUUGUGAUAACUUCAGGAAACUCGGGCUAAUACCCGAUAUGAUCUCCUGCUGCAUGGUGGUGGUUGGAAAGUUUCGGCGGUUGUGUAUGGACUCGCGGCUUAUCAGCUUGUUUGUGGGGUAGUUGCUUACCAAGGCUUUGACGGGUAGCCGGCCUGAGAGGGUGAACGGGGACAAGGGGACUGAGAGACGGACCAGAAUGCUACGGGAGGCAGCAGUGGGGAGUAUUGCAGAAUGGGCGGAAGUCUGAUGCAGCAACGCCGCGUGCGGGAUGACGGCCUUCGAGUGGUAAACAGCUUUCGAAUGAGACGAAGAGGGAGUGACGGUAAUGGGUAAAGAAGCACCGGCUAACUACGUG
RNAcentral lists this ribosomal RNA (468 nucleotides) under uncultured bacterium. RNAcentral's name for it is "partial 16S ribosomal RNA". It matches the Rfam family "Bacterial small subunit ribosomal RNA", at positions 28 to 507 of the family's 1533-position model. The record is from RNAcentral.